GACGAACGCUGGCGGCGUGCUUAACACAUGCAAGUCGAGCGGUAAGGCCCUUUCGGGGGUACACGAGCGGCGAACGGGUGAGUAACACGUGGGUGACCUGCCUUUAGCUCUGGGAUAAGCCUGGGAAACUGGGUCUAAUACCGGAUACGACUCCGCGGUGCAUGCUGUGGGGUGGAAAGCCUUGUGCGGCUGGAGAUGGGCCCGCGGCCUAUCAGCUUGUUGGUGGGGUGAUGGCCUACCAAGGCGACGACGGGGUAGCCGGCCUGAGAGGGCGACCGGCCACACUGGGACUGAGACACGGCCCAGACUCCUACGGGAGGCAGCAGUGGGGAAUCUUGCGCAAUGGGCGAAAGCCUGACGCAGCGACGCCGCGUGAGGGAUGACGGCCUGG
Molecule: ribosomal RNA, 391 nt
Filed under: uncultured bacterium
Lineage: Bacteria
Description: bacterial SSU rRNA
Rfam family: Bacterial small subunit ribosomal RNA
Source: RNAcentral